Molecule: long non-coding RNA, 345 nt
Filed under: Hordeum vulgare
Lineage: Eukaryota; Viridiplantae; Streptophyta; Magnoliopsida; Poales; Poaceae
Description: long non-coding RNA (HVUL_LNC001280)
Source: RNAcentral
ACCCGAUCCUAAGCCAUAGGAAUCCAACUUGUAACACAUCGCAUCUCUUUGCCGUCUCAUGCACGGUUAUCCCCACGGCUGCAGCCUUACCUUAGCCGGGACCGUUUGCGCCUUUUGACUCGCGUAUGCAAUUGUGUCGCUAGCAAUCCAAUGACAAAGAACCCGGAUCGACAUGUCUAGUCAUAAACCAAAGCGGCAAUUCCGCACAGGGACAGACAUACAUGACCCAACAAAGCAGGUGUCGGUCACCACCGAAUGUAGACGAGUCGUAGCAAGGUACAAGGACUCCAUUACAUCGCGUGACAUUUCCCCAACGGGGACAGACACAUCAGCUAAGAAGGACAC